UAGGGAAUCUUCCGCAAUGGGCGAAAGCCUGACGGAGCAACGCCGCGUGAGUGAUGAAGGUCUUCGGAUCGUAAAACUCUGUUAUUAGGGAAGGACAAAUGUGUAAGUAACUAUGCACGUCUUGACGGUACCUAAUCAGAAAGCCACGGCUAACUACGUGCCAGCAGCCGCGGUAAUACGUAGGUGGCAAGCGUUAUCCGGAAUUAUUGGGCGUAAAGCGCGCGUAGGCGGUUUUUUAAGUCUGAUGUGAAAGCCCACGGCUCAACCGUGGAGGGUCAUUGGAAACUGGAAAACUUGAGUGCAGAAGAGGAAAGUGGAAUUCCAUGUGUAGCGGUGAAAUGCGCAGAGAUAUGGAGGAACACCAGUGGCGAAGGCGACUUUCUGGUCUGUAACUGACGCUGAUGUGCGAAAGCGUGGGGAUCAAACAGG
RNAcentral lists this ribosomal RNA (429 nucleotides) under Actinomycetes bacterium. Its description in RNAcentral is "Actinobacteria bacterium partial 16S ribosomal RNA". It matches the Rfam family "Bacterial small subunit ribosomal RNA", at positions 355 to 776 of the family's 1533-position model. Lineage: Bacteria; Bacillati; Actinomycetota; Actinomycetes. The record is from RNAcentral.